CCCUUAGAUGUUCUGGGCCGCACGCGCGCUACACUGAUGCAUUCAACGAGUCUAAAACCUGGUCUGAUAGGGCUGGGUAAUCUUUUGAAUGUGCAUCGUGAUUGGGAUAGAUGAUUGCAAUUCUUCAUCUUCAACGAGGAAUACCUAGUAAACGCAAGUCAUCAGCUUGCAUUGAUUACGUCCCUGCCCUUUGUACACACCGCCCGUCGCUCCUACCGAUUGAAUGUUCCGAUGAAUACCAUGGACUGAGAGUAUGAAUGGGUUCGCCUAUUUCUGCUUCUCGGGAAGUGGAGUAAAUCUUAACAUUUAGAGGAAGGAGAAGUCGUAACA
Molecule: ribosomal RNA, 330 nt
Filed under: uncultured eukaryote
Lineage: Eukaryota
Description: partial 18S ribosomal RNA
Rfam family: Eukaryotic small subunit ribosomal RNA
Source: RNAcentral